This is a long non-coding RNA of Nematostella vectensis (starlet sea anemone), 1071 nucleotides long. RefSeq lists it as uncharacterized. NCBI's taxonomy places the organism in Eukaryota, Metazoa, Cnidaria, Anthozoa, Actiniaria, Edwardsiidae. The record is from RefSeq and is a predicted model, not a curated record. The transcript is spliced from 5 exons.
AUACAAGUUCACUGGAUCUAUUCUCGAUUUUAAUCGAUUCUAUGGGAUGUUUGAGGCACAGGUUGAUAAGUCCAACACGGCAACAGUUACUAAGUUCGCAUACUUAAAAGAGCUUCUGGAUCCUAAAGUGAAAUCAUUGAUAGAUGGGUUGCCUUUUAACAAUGAGGGCUAUGCUAAAAUCACACAAAAAACUGCUUACUUUGAGCGCUUCGGUCCAUCUUUAGGUGUGAAAAAUCCGCGAGGAGGCGCGUGUUACUGUUGCGACAGAGUGAGAAUCGGGGGUCUGGGAUCUAGUCAAAUAUAGCAACAGACCCAGUCCUAACGCGGAUUUUGUUGUUUUUCCCGCGAAUAUAGCACAGAUUUUGAUGUCUUUCUCAGAAAAAAAACUUAUAAAAGUCGACUUACAUGCUGUGUGAUUUAUUUUUGUAGGCUCAGACAGUGACUGCUGUUGCUGGCGAUGUAGAGAAUCAAGGAGUUGUUUCCACGAAGUUAUGCGCGAAUUCGAAGCCUCCAUAAAAGACGAAACUGGAGAAGAAAGGACGCCCGAACGUUUGCGCCUCUUUUUACUAGAGCAAAGCUAGGAUGUUGAUUUUACUGAUGUAAACGCGAGGCGGUAUAUUUACAGGACACUGUUCCAGUUUCUGGCGAGAGAGCGUAGAAUUGGGAAUGGGAGGUCCCUUGUGUACCCUCAGCUAUUGUUAGAUGUUAUCCGCGAACUGUAUCCGGAAGGGUUGAAAAACCAUCCUCCGAGAUCUAACAAGGGAAACCAAUUUUAUGCAAUAUCAUUAGAAGAGAUCGUUGAGGAAUAUAAUAACUGAAGAGAUGGACAAUAUACCAGCCACCACAAAGUUCUGUUAGAAAAGGCCCUUUACUUUAGGGUCUGUUGCAAGAUUUUAGCUAACAAAAAUAAGUACUCAAUGACACUGUAUCUCAUAGAAUCAGCAUGUUUUCUUCGAUUAUUCUUCAAUACAUUUCUAUAACAAACUUUAUGUAUAAGCUGUUUGACUAAAAAAGCAUGAACAGUAACAUUGAUGAUAAGAAAUAAAUAAAUAGUUAUUUCAUUUUCUGUUA